This 1369-nucleotide ribosomal RNA is filed under the name uncultured bacterium. RNAcentral's name for it is "16S ribosomal RNA". It matches the Rfam family "Bacterial small subunit ribosomal RNA", at positions 31 to 1381 of the family's 1533-position model. The record is from RNAcentral.
GAACGCUGGCGGCGUGCCUAAUACAUGCAAGUCGAGCGAACGGACGAGAAGCUUGCUUCUCUGAUGUUAGCGGCGGACGGGUGAGUAACACGUGGAUAACCUACCUAUAAGACUGGGAUAACUUCGGGAAACCGGAGCUAAUACCGGAUAAUAUUUUGAACCGCAUGGUUCAAAAGUGAAAGACGGUCUUGCUGUCACUUAUAGAUGGAUCCGCGCUGCAUUAGCUAGUUGGUAAGGUAACGGCUUACCAAGGCAACGAUGCAUAGCCGACCUGAGAGGGUGAUCGGCCACACUGGAACUGAGACACGGUCCAGACUCCUACGGGAGGCAGCAGUAGGGAAUCUUCCGCAAUGGGCGAAAGCCUGACGGAGCAACGCCGCGUGAGUGAUGAAGGUCUUCGGAUCGUAAAACUCUGUUAUUAGGGAAGAACAUAUGUGUAAGUAACUGUGCACAUCUUGACGGUACCUAAUCAGAAAGCCACGGCUAACUACGUGCCAGCAGCCGCGGUAAUACGUAGGUGGCAAGCGUUAUCCGGAAUUAUUGGGCGUAAAGCGCGCGUAGGCGGUUUUUUAAGUCUGAUGUGAAAGCCCACGGCUCAACCGUGGAGGGUCAUUGGAAACUGGAAAACUUGAGUGCAGAAGAGGAAAGUGGAAUUCCAUGUGUAGCGGUGAAAUGCGCAGAGAUAUGGAGGAACACCAGUGGCGAAGGCGACUUUCUGGUCUGUAACUGACGCUGAUGUGCGAAAGCGUGGGGAUCAAACAGGAUUAGAUACCCUGGUAGUCCACGCCGUAAACGAUGAGUGCUAAGUGUUAGGGGGUUUCCGCCCCUUAGUGCUGCAGCUAACGCAUUAAGCACUCCGCCUGGGGAGUACGACCGCAAGGUUGAAACUCAAAGGAAUUGACGGGGACCCGCACAAGCGGUGGAGCAUGUGGUUUAAUUCGAAGCAACGCGAAGAACCUUACCAAAUCUUGACAUCCUUUGACAACUCUAGAGAUAGAGCUUUCCCCUUCGGGGGACAAAGUGACAGGUGGUGCAUGGUUGUCGUCAGCUCGUGUCGUGAGAUGUUGGGUUAAGUCCCGCAACGAGCGCAACCCUUAAGCUUAGUUGCCAUCAUUAAGUUGGGCACUCUAAGUUGACUGCCGGUGACAAACCGGAGGAAGGUGGGGAUGACGUCAAAUCAUCAUGCCCCUUAUGAUUUGGGCUACACACGUGCUACAAUGGACAAUACAAAGGGCAGCGAAACCGCGAGGUCAAGCAAAUCCCAUAAAGUUGUUCUCAGUUCGGAUUGUAGUCUGCAACUCGACUACAUGAAGCUGGAAUCGCCAGUAAUCGUAGAUCAGCAUGCUACGGUGAAUACGUUCCCGGGUCU